Non-coding RNA from Vicia faba (fava bean), 270 nucleotides. Lineage: Eukaryota; Viridiplantae; Streptophyta; Magnoliopsida; Fabales; Fabaceae. The record is from the annotation of a GenBank genome assembly.
AUGCCAUUUUUUGUUGCAAUCAGCUUUAGGUACCAAAAAUGGCGUGACAUGGGCCUAAGAGCUUCCAGCCGUUGUGAUGUCGUGACUUCCGAGUUCUUCGUCUUCUCACGAAAACCGAACGAAAAAAAGAGAGCAGAACUAAUCAGCAAACGUCCAGCGCAUCUCCGAUUCAAGUGCGUUAUGAAGAAGAUGAUGCAUAUCAAUGUUAUGUUGUCAAUGUUGAUGGAAGGUGAUCAAGAAUUAAGAUUUGCAGAGAAGCGUUGCGGUUGA